UAACAUUCAAAGAACACCCUUCUCUCAGACUCAGGGCAGGAGACAGACAUCCCAGAGCCUGUAUUCAAAAAGUCUGGGAAUAGCAGCACUAUUCCCACUCUCAGACUGGACCCCCAAACUGGACCAUGCUUUUUAGUCUUGAAACCAUUAUCAAGGGAGUUCAUCCUUCCCACUACUAUCACCAACUGCUGCCCAACUGUCAUUAACAGGCAGUUCUGCACAUGGAAUCCAAACACAUUCUUGAAUUUGAUGGAUACAAAGGAAAUUGGAGCACUAAGCAAUUACUCAAGAAGUCUGAUAAUGGAUAGACAUUCAUAAUUGUAGUUACACCUGCGUUGUUACCCAGGGAAAUAGGACACAUAUAAUUCAUCAUGAAGACAGUCCUGAAAUGCAGAUGUUUUACAGGGAAACAUUUGUGUGAUUAAAAUUAUUUUUUACUUUUCCUCCAGAUGUUUGACUCUUAUUAGAC
Molecule: long non-coding RNA, 469 nt
Filed under: Monodelphis domestica (gray short-tailed opossum)
Lineage: Eukaryota; Metazoa; Chordata; Mammalia; Didelphimorphia; Didelphidae
Description: lncRNA (ENSMODG00000051205.1)
Source: RNAcentral